Molecule: ribosomal RNA, 428 nt
Filed under: Chloroflexota bacterium
Lineage: Bacteria; Bacillati; Chloroflexota
Description: Chloroflexi bacterium partial 16S ribosomal RNA
Rfam family: Bacterial small subunit ribosomal RNA
Source: RNAcentral
UGGGGAAUAUUGCACAAUGGGCGCAAGCCUGAUGCAGCCAUGCCGCGUGUAUGAAGAAGGCCUUCGGGUUGUAAAGUACUUUCAGUCGGGAGGAAGGUGGUAAGGUUAAUAACCUUAUCAAUUGACGUUACCGACAGAAGAAGCACCGGCUAACUCCGUGCAGCAGCCGCGGUAAUACGGAGGGUGCAAGCGUUAAUCGGAAUUACUGGGCGUAAAGCGCACGCAGGCGGUUGAUUGAGUCAGAUGUGAAAUCCCCGGGCUUAACCCGGGAAUUGCAUCUGAUACUGGUCAGCUAGAGUCUUGUAGAGGGGGGUAGAAUUCCAUGUGUAGCGGUGAAAUGCGUAGAGAUGUGGAGGAAUACCGGUGGCGAAGGCGGCCCCCUGGACAAAGACUGACGCUCAGGUGCGAAAGCGUGGGGAGCAAACAGG